UGAGGAAUAUUGGUCAAUGGGCGGGGAGCCUGAACCAGCCAAGCCGCGUGAAGGAAGAAGGCGCCAGGCGUCGUAAACUUCUUUUGUCGGGGAACAAAGGGCGCCACGCGUGGCGUUGUGAGUGUACCCGAAGAAAAGCAUCGGCUAACUCCGUGCC
RNAcentral lists this ribosomal RNA (157 nucleotides) under uncultured bacterium. Its description in RNAcentral is "partial 16S ribosomal RNA". It matches the Rfam family "Bacterial small subunit ribosomal RNA", at positions 355 to 509 of the family's 1533-position model. The record is from RNAcentral.